Molecule: ribosomal RNA, 402 nt
Filed under: uncultured Sphingomonadaceae bacterium
Lineage: Bacteria; Pseudomonadati; Pseudomonadota; Alphaproteobacteria; Sphingomonadales; Sphingomonadaceae
Also listed under: 1 other name
Description: bacterial SSU rRNA
Rfam family: Bacterial small subunit ribosomal RNA
Source: RNAcentral
UGGGGAAUAUUGGACAAUGGGCGAAAGCCUGAUCCAGCAAUGCCGCGUGAGUGAAGAAGGCCUUCGGGUUGUAAAGCUCUUUUACCCGGGAAGAUAAUGACUGUACCGGGAGAAUAAGCUCCGGCUAACUCCGUGCCAGCAGCCGCGGUAAUACGGAGGGAGCUAGCGUUGUUCGGAAUUACUGGGCGUAAAGCGUACGUAGGCGGCUUUGUAAGUCAGAGGUGAAAGCCCACGACUCAAUCGUGGAACUGCCUUUGAGACUGCUUCGCUUGAAGAUGGGAGAGGUUAGUGGAAUUCCGAGUGUAGAGGUGAAAUUCGUAGAUAUUCGGAAGAACACCAGUGGCGAAGGCGGCUAACUGGACCAUUCUUGACGCUGAGGUACGAAAGCGUGGGGAGCAAACA